AAUAGAUACCCUGGUAGUCCACGCCGUAAACGAUGUCGACUUGGAGGUUGUUCCCUUGAGGAGUGGCUUCCGGAGCUAACGCGUUAAGUCGACCGCCUGGGGAGUACGGCCGCAAGGUUAAAACUCAAAUGAAUUGACGGGGGCCCGCACAAGCGGUGGAGCAUGUGGUUUAAUUCGAUGCAACGCGAAGAACCUUACCUACUCUUGACAUCCAGAGAACUUAGCAGAGAUGCUUUGGUGCCUUCGGGAACUCUGAGACAGGUGCUGCAUGGCUGUCGUCAGCUCGUGUUGUGAAAUGUUGGGUUAAGUCCCGCAACGAGCGCAACCCUUAUCCUUUGUUGCCAGCGGUUCGGCCGGGAACUCAAAGGAGACUGCCAGUGAUAAACUGGAGGAAGGUGGGGAUGACGUCAAGUCAUCAUGGCCCUUACGAGUAGGGCUACACACGUGCUACAAUGGCAUAUACAAAGAGAAGCGACCUCGCGAGAGCAAGCGGACCUCAUAAAGUAUGUCGUAGUCCGGA
Molecule: ribosomal RNA, 520 nt
Filed under: uncultured bacterium
Lineage: Bacteria
Description: bacterial SSU rRNA
Rfam family: Bacterial small subunit ribosomal RNA
Source: RNAcentral